This 253-nucleotide ribosomal RNA is filed under the name uncultured bacterium. Its description in RNAcentral is "partial 16S ribosomal RNA". It matches the Rfam family "Bacterial small subunit ribosomal RNA", at positions 524 to 776 of the family's 1533-position model. The record is from RNAcentral.
UACGUAGGGGGCAAGCGUUGUCCGGAAUCAUUGGGCGUAAAGCGCGUGUAGGCGGCUUGGUAAGUCCGCUCUGAAAGCCCGGGGCUCAACCCCGGGAGGCGGGUGGAUACUGUCAAGCUUGAGUCCUGAAGAGGCGAGUGGAAUUCCCGGUGUAGCGGUGAAAUGCGCAGAUAUCGGGAGGAACACCAAUGGCGAAGGCAGCUCGCUGGGACGUGACUGACGCUGAGACGCGAAAGCGUGGGGAGCAAACAGG